CCCCUGGACGAAGACUGACGCUCAGGUGCGAAAGCGUGGGGAGCAAACAGGAUUAGAUACCCUGGUAGUCCACGCCGUAAACGAUGUCGACUUGGAGGUUGUGCCCUUGAGGCGUGGCUUCCGGAGCUAACGCGUUAAGUCGACCGCCUGGGGAGUACGGCCGCAAGGUUAAAACUCAAAUGAAUUGACGGGGGCCCGCACAAGCGGUGGAGCAUGUGGUUUA
Molecule: ribosomal RNA, 223 nt
Filed under: Shigella flexneri
Lineage: Bacteria; Pseudomonadati; Pseudomonadota; Gammaproteobacteria; Enterobacterales; Enterobacteriaceae
Description: partial 16S ribosomal RNA
Rfam family: Bacterial small subunit ribosomal RNA
Source: RNAcentral